RNAcentral lists this ribosomal RNA (496 nucleotides) under uncultured bacterium. RNAcentral's name for it is "bacterial SSU rRNA". It matches the Rfam family "Bacterial small subunit ribosomal RNA", at positions 30 to 518 of the family's 1533-position model. The record is from RNAcentral.
AUUGAACGCUGGCGGAAUGCUUUACACAUGCAAGUCGAACGGCAGCACGGGGGCAACCCUGGUGGCGAGUGGCGAACGGGUGAGUAACACAUCGGAACGUGCCCAGUCGUGGGGGAUAACGUAGCGAAAGCUACGCUAAUACCGCAUACGAUCUACGGAUGAAAGCGGGGGAUCGCAAGACCUCGCGCGAUUGGAGCGGCCGAUGGCAGAUUAGGUAGUUGGUGGGGUAAAGGCUCACCAAGCCGACGAUCUGUAGCUGGUCUGAGAGGACGACCAGCCACACUGGGACUGAGACACGGCCCAGACUCCUACGGGAGGCAGCAGUGGGGAAUUUUGGACAAUGGGCGCAAGCCUGAUCCAGCCAUUCCGCGUGCAGGAUGAAGGCCUUCGGUUGUAAACUGCUUUUGUACGGUAACGAAACGGACUCUCUCUAAUACAGGGGCGUAAUGACGGUACCGUAAGAAUAAGCACCGGCUAACUACGUGCCAGCAGCCGC